GCUUGCUACCUGACCUAGCGGCGGACGGGUGAGUAAUGCUUAGGAAUCUGCCUAUUAGUGGGGGACAACAUUCCGAAAGGAAUGCUAAUACCGCAUACGCCCUACGGGGGAAAGCAGGGGAUCUUCGGACCUUGCGCUAAUAGAUGAGCCUAAGUCAGAUUAGCUAGUUGGUGGGGUAAAGGCCUACCAAGGCGACGAUCUGUAGCGGGUCUGAGAGGAUGAUCCGCCACACUGGGACUGAGACACGGCCCAGACUCCUACGGGAGGCAGCAGUGGGGAAUAUUGGACAAUGGGCGAAAGCCUGAUCCAGCCAUGCCGCGUGUGUGAAGAAGGCCUUUUGGUUGUAAAGCACUUUAAGCGAGGAGGAGGCUACUUGGAUUAAUACUCUAGGAUAGUGGACGUUACUCGCAGAAUAAGCACCGGCUAACUCUGUGCCAGCAGCCGCGGUAAUACAGAGGGUGCGAGCGUUAAUCGGAUUUACUGGGCGUAAAGCGUGCGUAGGCGGCUUUUUAAGUCGGAUGUGAAAUCCCUGAGCUUAACUUAGGAAUUGCAUUCGAUACUGGGAAGCUAGAGUAUGGGAGAGGAUGGUAGAAUUCCAGGUGUAGCGGUGAAAUGCGUAGAGAUCUGGAGGAAUACCGAUGGCGAAGGCAGCCAUCUGGCCUAAUACUGACGCUGAGGUACGAAAGCAUGGGGAGCAAACAGGAUUAGAUACCCUGGUAGUCCAUGCCGUAAACGAUGUCUACUAGCCGUUGGGGCCUUUGAGGCUUUAGUGGCGCAGCUAACGCGAUAAGUAGACCGCCUGGGGAGUACGGUCGCAAGACUAAAACUCAAAUGAAUUGACGGGGGCCCGCACAAGCGGUGGAGCAUGUGGUUUAAUUCGAUGCAACGCGAAGAACCUUACCUGGUCUUGACAUAGUAAGAACUUUCCAGAGAUGGAUUGGUGCCUUCGGGAACUUACAUACAGGUGCUGCAUGGCUGUCGUCAGCUCGUGUCGUGAGAUGUUGGGUUAAGUCCCGCAACGAGCGCAACCCUUUUCCUUAUUUGCCAGCGGGUUAAGCCGGGAACUUUAAGGAUACUGCCAGUGACAAACUGGAGGAAGGCGGGGACGACGUCAAGUCAUCAUGGCCCUUACGACCAGGGCUACACGCGUGCUACAAUGGUCGGUACAAAGGGUUGCUACCUAGCGAUAGGAUGCUAAUCUCAAAAAGCCGAUCGUAGUCCGGAUUGGAGUCUGCAACUCGACUCCAUGAAGUCG
RNAcentral lists this ribosomal RNA (1255 nucleotides) under uncultured Acinetobacter sp. Its description in RNAcentral is "bacterial SSU rRNA". It matches the Rfam family "Bacterial small subunit ribosomal RNA", at positions 78 to 1328 of the family's 1533-position model. The record is from RNAcentral. Lineage: Bacteria; Pseudomonadati; Pseudomonadota; Gammaproteobacteria; Moraxellales; Moraxellaceae.